RNA transcript from Papaver somniferum (opium poppy), 657 nucleotides. It is a transcript of the gene named cytochrome c oxidase subunit 6a, mitochondrial-like, with no coding region annotated. The record is from RefSeq and is a predicted model, not a curated record. The transcript is spliced from 5 exons. NCBI's taxonomy places the organism in Eukaryota, Viridiplantae, Streptophyta, Magnoliopsida, Ranunculales, Papaveraceae.
AAGAGAAACAAGAGUUUUAGAUUGAGAGAAAGCGAAGAGAAAUGGCGAUGUCAGUGGUGAGAUCCGGUUUUCAAUCUGCUAUUCGUAGAGGCGGACGUAGCAGCGUUCCAACCAAGAGGAACUUCUCUUCCUCAGCUCAUCACGAUGAUGCCCAUGAAGCGGCGAAAUGGGAAAAGAUUUCAUACGCUGGAAUUGUGGGUUGCACUGCUUUUGCUGUUUGGACUUUGUCAAAGGGUCAUCCCCAUGGGGAGGAGCAACCAGCAUAUCCUUACAUGCGCAUCCGAAACAAGGAGUUCCCAUGGGGAUGGGGCUGGCAUGAAUUGCUCAAGAAUAAUGGCUGAUAACCGAAAAAUUAUGUUACUAUAUGAAUCUUUUAGCAGACAUAUUUCAGGUCCUGAUGGUCUCUUCGAGGUCAAAAGCCAUGAUCAUUAGUUUUUAGUAGAUUACUCUGGAUAUGAAACUUGUUAGUAACUUCUCAUUGGGGGUGAACGACAUUGAAGCUUUCAAACAUUCUGUUGUCUUUUUGUUUGUUUCUUUUUUAUCUUAAUGCUCUUGCAAAUGCAAUAAAAACGUGAUAAGAUAGUCUCAGUGUGUUUUAUCAACUCUUUUGUCAGUACAUUCAUACUGCAUAUGAACAAAUUGAUUUUGUUACCUGUA